GAACCCUUGCAGAAGAGCUG
This 20-nucleotide microRNA is filed under the name Anas platyrhynchos (mallard). RNAcentral's name for it is "apl-miR-11591-3p". The record is from miRBase by way of RNAcentral. Lineage: Eukaryota; Metazoa; Chordata; Aves; Anseriformes; Anatidae.